Molecule: non-coding RNA, 1259 nt
Organism: Corylus avellana
Lineage: Eukaryota; Viridiplantae; Streptophyta; Magnoliopsida; Fagales; Betulaceae
Source: RefSeq, a predicted model, not a curated record
GACGAAUGCGAUGCUUUCCUUCGUUUUCUGUUCCAGAGCGCGAAGACAGAGAGACGGAGGGAGCAUCAGUUUUGUGCAUCCAUUGCCGACCAAGAUAAAAGAUGUUACGGAGACCAAGAAAGAACAACCACCUGCUUUCCUCUCUGCAGUUCAAGGACUGGGGAUGGGAGAGAAACAAAAGGAUACCAAGGAGACCCAUGUUUCUAUGUCGCUUGAUAAGCUCAGAGAGCAAACUAGGGAGGCUGUUAAGGGAUUUUGAAGAUUGGGUCAAGCAGGAAAGAUAUCGAACCAAAAAGGUAGAAGUCCAAGCUUUUGUUUGGCAUGUACUCAUAGAUCAGCAUUUGUUCAUCCCUCUCAAUGCAAAAUCCCAAAAGCCGCACGAGAUUUACAUGUUGCAGUUUUGCAGUUCACAGUUGGGAAAUUCCAGGAGCCAAAUUGUUGCUAUAUUGGCAAAUUUUGUUAUUGUUAGAUAUCCACAGGAGUGCUAGACCUAAUCAGGUCGCCUCCUAGUAAGAGGAUCUUCAUUUGUUGGUUUUGCAUGGGGUUGCUUAGAAGUGAUCUUCAGAUUUAAUUGGCUUGGCUGACCUUAAAAUGGAUGUCUAUAUAAUACAUACUUUAUAACAAGUUAUUUGAUCUCUUUACAGUAAUCAGCACCUCAUUUCCAGAAGUGUUUAAUCUCCAGUAGUCAGUACCUCAUACCAAGAAUGUGUUUCAUAUAUUGGUGAACUUUGGGGAUGUAACAUAUGACGCCUAUUUUCAAGGAUGCUUUUGGGGCACCGAGCCUUCCUUCCAGGACUGUCAAUCUGGGAAACCAUUCAUACCACAUGAGAAGCUAGGAGGGAGAAACCGAAACAGGAGGUUGGGAAGAACCAGAAGAGGCAUAGAUCACCGUAUUUUGGGUAUAGCUUGUUGACGGUCUGGUAUGCUUUCUGUAGAGGAUUUUCAGAAGGUUCUUUAUAUUCUUAAGUUGUAUCUUUAUCCAAUGAAGGAAUUGUUUCACUUGGUGCUGGAAUUCUAUAGAGCAGUCAGCUCAUCUCAGAAGGCCCGCUUCCUUCGUUUUAUUUACACGAGAUUCCUGGUUUUUUUCCUCUUCUUUUAUUGAGCCCCGGCCCCCUCUCAUAGACAAAGGGCAGGGUAAUAACAGGGGUCCCAAUUGUAGGGAAUCCGGAUCCGUUCAUGUAGACGUUUCCUUCGAUAAAGUACAUCAUUUGACUGAAAUCAGAUUAUUGUCAAUCAAAACCCAAACAGUGAAAAAAGAA